This 174-nucleotide small nuclear RNA is filed under the name Castor canadensis (American beaver). RNAcentral describes it as "U1 spliceosomal RNA (ENSCCNG00000016828.1)". The stretch from base 3 to 155 matches the Rfam family "U1 spliceosomal RNA". Rfam says of the family: U1 is a small nuclear RNA (snRNA) component of the spliceosome (involved in pre-mRNA splicing). Its 5' end forms complementary base pairs with the 5' splice junction, thus defining the 5' donor site of an intron. Lineage: Eukaryota; Metazoa; Chordata; Mammalia; Rodentia; Castoridae. The record is from RNAcentral.
CAAUGUUAUUGUCAUGGGAGAUACUAUGAUCACAAAGGUAAUUUUCUCAAGGUGAGAUUCAUCUAUUGCACUACAGAUGUGAUCAACCUAGUGAUAUCCCCAAAUAUGGGAACCUUGACUGCAUAAUUUGUGGUAAUGGGGGGCUGCAUUUUUUUUAUUAAAUAUAAGCCUCAC